Molecule: long non-coding RNA, 2879 nt
Organism: Osmia bicornis bicornis
Lineage: Eukaryota; Metazoa; Arthropoda; Insecta; Hymenoptera; Megachilidae
Exons: 5
Source: RefSeq, a predicted model, not a curated record
CCCUAACCCCUAAUGUGUCAAAACAAGGAUUGUCAACAGAAAGCAAGAAGAGUGUAAGAAGACUCGUUAAGAAUGGGAACAAGAACAAGAUUACCUACUAAAAAGCCUGAUAGUCAACUCAGAAAAAGGAAACAAGCAAGAAAAGCACACUGUCACCCUAUUAUGACAGAACUAUAAAAUACCAAUACCUGAGAGAGACAUCAUGAAUUAAUUGAAUUAACGAAUAUCAAAAAAGAAUCAGAAUAUCCAAGGAUAUAACAGGUGACAACCAAGGAAACGACAGUAAAAUAAAAUAAAUAGUGAUAAACAGUGAUAACGCGGCACAAAUAACUAAAUAUAAAAUAUAAGUAUAUUGAAUAUAGAAUAACCGCAUCAAAGCAAACCAUAAAUAUAUUAAUUUAAUCUACAACACUUUGUACCACCAUAAAUAUAAAAUUAAACUAAAUCAUAACAGUAACUUUAAUUCAGUUAAUACAGAAUGAAUGAACAAUAACGGAGUGAAAGAAUGAACGAAUUAUCAGUGAAGUUAUUAAUAAAGAAAUUAAAGAGAAUGAAGUGAAUAGGAAGCGUAAAGUAUAAAGUGAAAGCCACGACCAGCAUAAUGUAAUAAUAUAGGGUAAAGCAACACAGUGUAAUAUAAUGCAAUGUAAUAUAAUAAUGUAAAACAAAUGAUAUAUAAUAAAAUAAAGUAGAAUAUAAAAUACAAGAAGUGGACUCAAAAUAUAACCGUAAAGCUUACCAACUAAAUACUCUAUUUCUUUACCAAAGUAAAUUAUAUGUUAAAUGGUAAAUGGUGGAUGAUAAGUGAUCGUGUCAAUGCAAAUGUACAUAGAACCAAUUAUUUCAUGACAUUUCAAAAUAAGGAAAUAAACAACAUGUAAAUAAAUCAAUCAAUCAACCAAAUCAAUCAAAUCAAAUGUAAACUGUGUAAUUCAGUUAAACACUAUACUACUGCAUAGUGUAAGAAUAAAUCAAUCAAUCAACUAAUAUUUAAAAUGGUGAAAUUAAACAGAACCCGCGCAGCAUGAAAGCAUUUGGAUGGACAAAACCACUCAUCAUCACAGAAGAAUAGCAAAAUUAAUUAAGAUAAAUCAAAUCAAAUCACCAACCUCAACUGGUCAGAAUAAAUAAAUGAAUGAAUAACGAAUAAUGAAUUAAUGAAUGAAUGAAUGAAUGAAUAAAUCAAGGAAAAGAGAAACAACAGAAUACUAGCAAGUACGAGUAAGCAAACCCUAAUGCGCCAAAGCCACGGUGUCAAAACUAGCAUGCAAGGACUAGCUAAAAGGAACGACAUUGAAUAAGAGAACUGAAUUGCAACUGAAAAGGAAAAGAAAAGAAAGGAAACAAGGUAAGAAACAGCCCACCAUCAUGGAAGAGCAACAUUAUGACCAGAGAAAGACGUCAUGAAUAAGCUGGAUUAAAGGAAAUCAAAGGAACACCAAAACAUUAAUGAAUAUCAAGGAUGCACAGGGAAAUCAAGAACAAAUCAAGAAGCGAUAAUGAAACAAAAUGUAUAACAGCGAUAACGCGACCUAAUAAAUUAGAGUAAUAAUAAAUAUAUUAAAUACAAUAUAAAAUAAAGAAUAACCAUGGAAGCAAAUCAUAAAUAUAUUAAUACUAAUACAAUCUACCGAACUUUGUACCAUCGUGUGUUAAAAUAAACUAAAUCAUAACAGUUACUUUAGUUCAAUUUUAUUCAGGAUGAAUGAACAGUGACAGAGCGAAGGUAGUAAUCAACAUAGUAUGAUAAUGUAAUAAUGUAAUGUUCCGCAAUAUAACGUAGUGUCACGUAAUAUAAUGUAAAACAGAAGGUAUUAUACUAAAGUAAAAUACAAAAUACAAAUACAAGAAGUGUGUUUAAUGAAAUAAUAUAGUACAAUCGUACAGAUUAUUAGCUACAAUAUUCCAUCUCUUAACCAGAAUAGCCUACAAGUUAAAUCAUAAAUUAUAAACUACACAUUAUAAAUUAUAAAUCAUAAACCGUAAAUAAUUGUGGACACCGCUUGUCAGCACAAAGGAAAGAAAUUAGAGUAAAAUAAAUUAAACCCUUUGACUAUUAAUCAGAUAAACAAUGAGCAAAGAACGAAUGAAUGACUGAAUAAAUAAAUAGUAAUGAGUAAAUAAUAAGUGAAUAACGAAAGAUUGAAUAUAUGACUGCGAGCACAACUAUAGAAAUUAAGAAACUGGGAAAUUGAGGAACCGAGAAAUUGAGUAAAUAAAGAAAUAAGAAAAAGCGAAGAGGAAGUGAAAAUGAAAAUGGGAAAGUGUACUGCAAGCCGUAAAGUGUAAUGUGCAAGCAAAAUAACCAGCACAAUACACUGUGAUAUAAAAGAAAAGAAAAUAAAGAAUGAAUGAUACCGUGAAGGUAUAGCAUAGAUACAGUGAAGUGAAUUUCAAAAUAAUAUAACCAUAGAUAAUAUAAACCAUAGAACAGCCACCUUCAAAGAUGUCAGGUGACAGAAUUUACAGAGAUAUAACCUUAACCCUAACCCCCAAUGUGUCAAAACAAGGAUGUCAACAGGAAGCAAGAACAGUGUAAGAAGACUCGUUAGGGAUAAGAAGAACAAAUUACCAAUUAAGGAACCCUGAUUGUCAACUCAAGGACAGGAAACAAGCAAGAAAGGCACUGUCACCCUUUUGUGAAAGGGCUACGCAAUACCAAUGCCAGGGAGAGACAUCGCGAAUUAAUUGAAUUAAAGAAUAUCGAAGAAGAAUCAAAAUAUCCAAGGAUAUAUAACAGGCGACAAAUCAAGAAGGCGACAGGAAAUGGAAUAAAUAGUGGUAGUCAGUGAUAACGUGACACAAUUAAAUUAAAAUAUAAAAUAUAUAUGUAUUAAAUGUAUUAAAUAUAGAAUAACCGCAUAAAAGUAAACAUAAAU